UAACGCCAUAAUUUUUGCCAGUAAAACUGAAAGCAACAGUAUGUGAAGAUGACUCUAAUCUUACAACAAAGUUGAAGCAAAUAUGCAGUAACUUAUUGAAGAAGAUUCAAAUUAUUCUUUCAACUUCCAAAAAAGAAGCAGAAGUUAUUCAACCAGAAUUAGUAACUUUUUUCUCCAGGGUUUGUAGAGGCACUUGAUUCUGCUUGAAAUGGCGGGCAUCAACAUAAAGCAGCCCUUAUUAGAUCAGCUGCCUAAAACCCUUCAAAAUGUUGACCAAAGGAGAAGAAGACUUCGCCGGCAUAAAAGUGCUCCUAUGGCCGAAUUUGUUCCUGGAGAAAUGAAUGACACAAAGGACGACCAAUCCCUCCCACGUUAUGAGACAAUAUUGGAUAAACUCCAUCCUAGUUUUAGGAAAGUCAUUCUUUACUUGGUUAUAUAUGUGACUAUUGGUACCACGUGCUUUUACUUUGUUCGGGACCAAAUCAGGGGAAAGAAAGUAAAUGGGGUACUCGAUUCUGUUUACUUUUGUGUUGUGACAAUGACAACUGUUGGAUACGGGGACCUCUUCCCUAACAGUGCAACUACUAAAUUGCUUGCCUGUUUCUUUGUUUUCUCUGGGAUGGCAUUUGCUGGAAUGGUUCUAAGCAAAGGAGCAGACUAUUUGGUGGAGAAACAGGAAACUGUAUUAUUCAAAGCAAUGCAUAUGCGUGAUAAAGCCAGUCCGAGUGAAAUUCUAGAGGAAAUCGAAACCAACAGAGUAAGGUACAAGUGCAUCGUAAUAACGGCCUCUCUCGUGGUGCUAAUAGUUGUUGGAACGGUUUUCCUUGUCAAGGUAGAAAAGUUAAGUACCAUUGAUGCGUUUUAUUGUGUCUGUUCUACCAUCACAACGCUAGGAUAUGGAGAAAAAAGCUUCUCAACUGAAGCAGGGCGUAUUUUUGCUAUAUUCUGGAUUUUGACCAGCACCGUAUGUGCGGCUCAGUUCUUCCUUUAUGUUGCUGAAUUUAACACGCAAAGUAGGCAGAAGGAGCUGGUGAAAUUGGUUCUUACAAGAAGGAUGACAAAUGUGGACUUGGAAGAAGCUGAUCUUGAUAAUGAUGGGGUUGUAGGGGCUGCUGAAUUUGUGGUUUAUAAACUUAAGGAGAUGGGGAAGAUCAACCAAGAAGACGUAUCACUUUUGUUAGACGAGUUUGAAAGUCUUGAUGACGAUCAGUCUGGAACUUUGUCAACCACAGAUUUGACACUUGCCCAAUCAUCUUAAAGGGGAAGGUGAUCGCGAUACUACCUUAUAUUCCAUAUUCCUAUUUCCAUGAGCUUCUGUGGGACGUGAUAAAAUGGCGGAUGCAGCUCUUCGGCUGAACCUUGUAUUUUUUGUGCUGUGUAUAAGUAUAUAUGUGAAGAUGAAUCCAAAUUUGUACUUAAAGGUCGGAUCUAUCAAAUUUAAACUCUGUAUCUGUCCCUUAAAAUGUCAGGUGCAGUGUGAUGGGCAA
This is an RNA transcript of Lycium barbarum (goji berry), 1487 nucleotides long. It is a transcript of the gene named two-pore potassium channel 1-like, with no coding region annotated. The transcript has 4 exons. The record is from RefSeq and is a predicted model, not a curated record. Lineage: Eukaryota; Viridiplantae; Streptophyta; Magnoliopsida; Solanales; Solanaceae.